RNAcentral lists this ribosomal RNA (253 nucleotides) under uncultured bacterium. RNAcentral describes it as "partial 16S ribosomal RNA". It matches the Rfam family "Bacterial small subunit ribosomal RNA", at positions 524 to 776 of the family's 1533-position model. The record is from RNAcentral.
GACGUAGGGCGCGAGCGUUGUCCGGAUUUAUUGGGCGUAAAGAGCUCGUAGGCGGCUUGUCGCGUCGAAUGUGAAAUUUUAGGGCUCAACCCUGACAUUGCAUUCGAUACGGGCAGGCUUGAGUUCGGUAGGGGAGACUGGAAUUCCUGGUGUAGCGGUGAAAUGCGCAGAUAUCAGGAGGAACACCGGUGGCGAAGGCGGGUCUCUGGGCCGAUACUGACGCUGAGGCACGAAAGCGUGGGGAGCAAACAGG